RNAcentral lists this ribosomal RNA (514 nucleotides) under uncultured bacterium. RNAcentral's name for it is "bacterial SSU rRNA". It matches the Rfam family "Bacterial small subunit ribosomal RNA", at positions 9 to 518 of the family's 1533-position model. The record is from RNAcentral.
AGAGUUGAUCCUGGCUAGGAUGAACGCUAGCGGCAGGCUUAACACAUGCAAGUCGAGGGGCAGCGCGUGUAGCAAUACGAUGGCGGCGACCGGCGGAAGGGUGCGUAACACGUGAGCAACUUGCCCGCAUCUGGGGGAAAAGCGAUGGAAACGCCGUCUAAUACCCCAUAACAACAGGGACCGCAUGAUCCCCGUUUGAAAGAAUUUCGGAUGCGGAUGGGCUCGCGGGACAUUAGCUAGUUGGAGUGGUAACGGCACACCAAGGCGACGAUGUCUAGGGGUUCUGAGAGGAAGGUCCCCCACAUUGGAACUGAGACACGGUCCAAACUCCUACGGGAGGCAGCAGUGAGGAAUAUUGGUCAAUGGACGGAAGUCUGAACCAGCCAUGCCGCGUGAAGGAAAAUAAGGCCCUAUGGGUCGUAAACUUCUUUUGUGGCGGAGCAAUAAGGCGUACGCGUACGCCGAUGAGAGUACGUCACGAAUAAGCAUCGGCUAACUCUGUGCCAGCCGCAGC